Molecule: ribosomal RNA, 497 nt
Filed under: uncultured bacterium
Lineage: Bacteria
Description: partial 16S ribosomal RNA
Rfam family: Bacterial small subunit ribosomal RNA
Source: RNAcentral
GACGAACGCUGGCGGCGUGCCUAAUACAUGCAAGUUGAGCGAUGAAGAUUGGUGCUUGCACCAAUUUGAAGAGCAGCGAACGGGUGAGUAACGCGUGGGGAAUCUGCCUUUGAGCGGGGGACAACAUUUGGAAACGAAUGCUAAUACCGCAUAACAACUUUAAACAUAAGUUUUAAGUUUGAAAGAUGCAAUUGCAUCACUCAAAGAUGAUCCCGCGUUGUAUUAGCUAGUUGGUGAGGUAAAGGCUCACCAAGGCGAUGAUACAUAGCCGACCUGAGAGGGUAAUCGGCCACAUUGGGACUGAGACACGGCCCAAACUCCUACGGGAGGCAGCAGUAGGGAAUCUUCGGCAAUGGGCGAAAGUCUGACCGAGCAACGCCGCGUGAGUGAAGAAGGUUUUCGGAUCGUAAAACUCUGUUGGUAGAGAAGAACGUUGGUGAGAGUGGAAAGCUCAUCAAGUGACGGUAACUACCCAGAAAGGGACGGCUAACUACGUG